CCUACGGGGUGCUGUAGUGGGGAAUAUUGGACAAUGGGCGAAAGCCUGAUCCAGCCAUGCCGCGUGUGUGAAGAAGGCCUUCGGGUUGUAAAGCACUUUCAGUGGGGAAGAAAGCCUUGGGGCUAAUACCCUCGAGGAAGGACAUCACCCACAGAAGAAGCACCGGCUAACUCCGUGCCAGCAGCCGCGGUAAUACGGAGGGUGCGAGCGUUAAUCGGAAUUACUGGGCGUAAAGCGCGCGUAGGCGGUCUGAUAAGCCGGUUGUGAAAGCCCCGGGCUCAACCUGGGAACGGCAUCCGGAACUGUCAGGCUAGAGUGCAGGAGAGGAAGGUAGAAUUCCCGGUGUAGCGGUGAAAUGCGUAGAGAUCGGGAGGAAUACCAGUGGCGAAGGCGGCCUUCUGGACUGACACUGACGCUGAGGUGCGAAAGCGUGGGUAGCAAACAGGAUUAGAUACCCCUGUAGUC
This 465-nucleotide ribosomal RNA is filed under the name Vreelandella stevensii. RNAcentral's name for it is "partial 16S ribosomal RNA". It matches the Rfam family "Bacterial small subunit ribosomal RNA", at positions 338 to 795 of the family's 1533-position model. Lineage: Bacteria; Pseudomonadati; Pseudomonadota; Gammaproteobacteria; Oceanospirillales; Halomonadaceae. The record is from RNAcentral.